Molecule: long non-coding RNA, 402 nt
Organism: Capsella rubella
Lineage: Eukaryota; Viridiplantae; Streptophyta; Magnoliopsida; Brassicales; Brassicaceae
Exons: 2
Source: RefSeq, a predicted model, not a curated record
AUUGAAAAUUAUUCAAUCAUAUUUCAUUCACACCCACAAGAAAAGAAAAGAGAAAAAGAAGAAGAAAAGAAACACUAUACAAAAAUGGCUUCAUCAUGCAAAAGUUUCUUGAUUCUGUUCUUGUGUGUGACGGUUAUCUUACACCCAAGUAUUACAGAAACUGUGGAAGCUGACGAUUCACAAAGACAUGGUUUUUUCGUUAUUGGUUCUUGCUCAAAAAUUCAUGACUGUAAUAAAAAAUGCAUUGAAAUGCAUUUCCCAAGCGGAAGAUGUCUUAAAGAGACCCCCCACGCCACUGAGUUAUCAUGUGGUUGCUAUGUAUAAUUAACAACGCUAUCAAAAUAUUGGAUUGUGAAAAUGUUAAAGUCUUUUCAAAUAAUAAUAAUGAUGUUAUUAAUUUUU